This 445-nucleotide ribosomal RNA is filed under the name uncultured bacterium. RNAcentral describes it as "partial 16S ribosomal RNA". It matches the Rfam family "Bacterial small subunit ribosomal RNA", at positions 354 to 796 of the family's 1533-position model. The record is from RNAcentral.
GUGAGGAAUAUUGGUCAAUGGGCGAGAGCCUGAACCAGCCAAGUCGCGUGAAGGAAGACGGCCCUACGGGUUGUAAACUUCUUUUGCAAUGGAAUAAAAAGAGUUACGUGUAAUUCAUUGUAUGUACAUUGCGAAUAAGGAUCGGCUAACUCCGUGCCAGCAGCCGCGGUAAUACGGAGGAUCCGAGCGUUAUCCGGAUUUAUUGGGUUUAAAGGGUGCGUAGGCGGAUUGGAAAGUCAGCGGUGAAAGUUUGCAGCUUAACUGUAAAAUGGACAUUGAAGCUGUCAGUCUUGAGUGCAAAUGAGGUAGGCGAAAUGUGUUGUGUAGCGGUGAAAUGCAUAGAUAUAACACAGAACACCAAUUGCGAAGGCAGCUUACUAAGCUACAACUGACACUGAAGCACGAAAGCGUGGGGAUCAAACAGGAUUAGAUACCCUUGUAGUCC